Molecule: unclassified non-coding RNA, 303 nt
Filed under: fungal sp.
Lineage: Eukaryota; Fungi
Also listed under: 2 other names
Description: partial contains 5.8S ribosomal RNA, internal transcribed spacer 2, and large subunit ribosomal RNA
Rfam family: 5.8S ribosomal RNA (bases 1-105)
Source: RNAcentral
GAAAUGCGAUAAGUAAUGUGAAUUGCAGAAUUCAGUGAAUCAUCGAAUCUUUGAACGCACAUUGCGCCCUCUGGUAUUCCGGAGGGCAUGCCUGUUCGAGCGUCAUUUCAACCCUCAAGCAUUGCUUGGUGUUGGGGCACCGCCUGUAAAAGGGCGGGCCCUGAAAUCUAGUGGCGAGCUCGCCAGGACCCCGAGCGUAGUAAUUAUAUUUCGUUCUGGAAGGCCCUGGCGGUGCCCUGCCGUUAAACCCCCAACUUCUGAAAAUUUGACCUCGGAUCAGGUAGGAAUACCCGCUGAACUUAA